RNAcentral lists this ribosomal RNA (460 nucleotides) under uncultured bacterium. Its description in RNAcentral is "partial 16S ribosomal RNA". It matches the Rfam family "Bacterial small subunit ribosomal RNA", at positions 338 to 795 of the family's 1533-position model. The record is from RNAcentral.
CCUACGGGUGGCAGCAGUGAGGAAUAUUGGUCAAUGGGCGAGAGCCUGAACCAGCCAAGUCGCGUGAGGGAAGACGGUCCUACGGAUUGUAAACCUCUUUUGUCAGGGAGCAAGCAGCGCCACGCGUGGCUCGGCGAGAGUACCUUACGAAAAAGCAUCGGCUAACUCCGUGCCAGCAGCCGCGGUAAUACGGAGGAUGCGAGCGUUAUUCGGAUUUAUUGGGUUUAAAGGGUGCGCAGGGGGAAGCGGCAAGUCAGCGGUAAAAUUGCGGGGCUCAACCUCGCCGAGCCGUUGAAACUGCUCUGCUAGAGUGGGCGAGAAGGAGGCGGAAUGCGUGGGGGAGCGGUGAAAUGCAGAGAUAACACGCAGAACUCCGAUGGCGAAGGCAGCAUACCGGAGCACAACUGACGCUCAUGCACGAAAGCGUGGGUAUCGAACAGGAUUAGAUACCCCAGUAGUC